UGGGGAAUAUUGGACAAUGGGGGGAACCCUGAUCCAGCCAUGCCGCGUGUGUGAAGAAGGCCUUAUGGUUGUAAAGCACUUUAAGCGAGGAGGAGGGUACUGGUAUUAAUACUACCAGGUACUGGACGUUACUCGCAGAAUAAGCACCGGCUAACUCUGUGCCAGCAGCCGCGGUAAUACAGAGGGUGCGAGCGUUAAUCGGAUUUACUGGGCGUAAAGCGUGCGUAGGCGGCUAAUUGAGUCGGAUGUGAAAUCCCCGAGCUUAACUUGGGAAUUGCAAUCGAUACUGGUUAGCUAGAGUGUGGGGGAGGAUGGGAGAAUUCCAGGUGUAGCGGUGAAAUGCGUAGAGAUCUGGAGGAAUACCGAUGGCGAAGGCAGCCAUCUGGCCUAACACUGACGCUGAGGUACGAAAGCAAGGGGAGGAAAAAGG
This 430-nucleotide ribosomal RNA is filed under the name Pseudomonadota bacterium. RNAcentral describes it as "Proteobacteria bacterium partial 16S ribosomal RNA". It matches the Rfam family "Bacterial small subunit ribosomal RNA", at positions 355 to 776 of the family's 1533-position model. Lineage: Bacteria; Pseudomonadati; Pseudomonadota. The record is from RNAcentral.